UCCUCGUAAGCGUCGAAGAGAAGCGGUUACAUCUCCUGUGGCACCACUGUAUCAGCCUCCACCAUUACCAUUACCAUUACCAUUACCAGCACCUGCACCUCGACCGCUUAUUGUUCCUUCAUACGCCUAUAGGAGUAGACCAGAAGUAAAUGUUUACAGGCUAGAUCCGUACUUGGAUGAUCGUGACCCUUAUAGAGGUGGGCGAGAUCCAUAUUUUGACCGUCGUGACCCAUACAGAGAAAGGCAAGAUCCAUAUAUAGAGCACCGGGAUUCUUCCAGAGAUGGCCGAGGUUUGCCGUCCCAGGUUUCUUACAGGAGGGAACCAGCAAUGGUGCAUACUGAUGUCUACAGGCCGGACCAGUUGGUCGAGUACCGUGAUUCUUAUGGAAGUCAUGAGCUGUUAGAGUACCGUGAUCGUCGGUCAUCAAAUUUGGGAACUAGGCGGCUGGACGAGAUUAGCAGCCGUGAACCCUAUGUUUCAUAUCGAGAUCGUACAUCAAAUUUGGAAGCUAGACGACGAGAUGAGAUUGUGAGUCGUGAUCCCUAUGUUUCAUACCAAGAUGGUACAUCAUAUGCUGACUCUGUGUAUUCUACAGAGCGUCUUUCUCGAACAGGCUUGGUACCCGAGUAUCGUCUUGCAGGUCCGAUAACUGAUCAUCCUCUUCCUGUGUAUCGCUCUCGGGGAAACUUAUCUCGAUAUUGAAGUUAUGUAAGAUGAGGACACCGUACUUUUUGCUGGUGCUUUUGUGUUUCGUUUUGCUCUUAUCCAACAGUUUCGUUUUGCUCGUAUCCAACAGUAAAUUUUUUAUUAGUUCGACUUGAGGCUGGUUUAAUUACUAUUGCUUUCGAACACAGAGAGACAUUAUCUGGUCAACUUUUACUAUACUAUAUUGACAGGAUAAAAUUAAUUUAAAGUAGGGAUAUAAAUUAAGGGAUGAUUUGAAUAAAUUAACACGAGCAAUCUGUCUUUCCUUUUUAUUAGUUACAUAGAGAAAAAGUAAUGUGAUUUAUAGUCGUUCACUACGGUAGUUGUCCUAUAUUUUACAUGACAGUUUGUAAUUUGAUUUAUUAAUGUGGUAGAUUUUUUUUGCCCCAAAUAUUAAAUUACGGGUAUCGUUAUUUCCAUCCACAUUUUUUAUAUGUACAUUCUACUCUAAAUUCAUCCUUAAUAAAAUUUUAAAUUUUUAAAAAAAAUACUAUUUGCAUUUACGUUAUAUUUCAAUCUUGUCCUUAUUAACUUCAUGAAUGUAAAUAUUAUAUAUCCACAUGAAUUUUAUAUAUUCAUAUCAUUU
This 1292-nucleotide long non-coding RNA is filed under the name Olea europaea (common olive). RNAcentral's name for it is "long non-coding RNA (OEUR_LNC012707)". The record is from RNAcentral. Lineage: Eukaryota; Viridiplantae; Streptophyta; Magnoliopsida; Lamiales; Oleaceae.